CAAGUUUCGAAGAGCAAACGGUGGAUGCCUUGGCAUCUGGAGCCGAAGAAGGACGUAGUAAUCUGCGAUAAGCCUCGGGGAGCCGAUAAACGGGCUUCGAUCCGAGGAUUUCCGAAUGGGGAAACCCCGCCAGCGCGCGUGCGUAGCUGGUGACUCCCGCCUGAAUAUAUAGGGCGGGUAGAGGGAACGUGGGGAAGUGAAACAUCUCAGUACCCACAGGAAGAGAAAACAACAUGUGAUUCCGGUAGUAGUGGCGAGCGAACCCGGAAGAGGCUAAACCGGUGGUGUGUGAUACCUGGCAGGGGUUGCAUCAUCGGGGUUGUGGGACGCUGCUGGAGGCGCUGCUGAGCCUUCGACGUGAAUGUUCAGGUUAUAGGGGAACCGCUUGGAACGGCGGACCGGAGUGGGUGAGAGUCCCGUACCCGAAAUGACCUGGCUGCGUGUGGCGUAUCCCAAGUAGCACGGGGCCCGAGAAAUCCCGUGUGAAUCUGUCAGGACCACCUGAUAAGCCUAAAUACUCCCAGAUGACCGAUAGCGGACUAGUACCGUGAGGGAAAGGUGAAAAGUACCCCGGGAGGGGAGUGAAAUAGUACCUGAAACCGUUUGCUUACAAUCCGUUGGAGCAGCCUUGUUGCUGUGACAGCGUGCCUUUUGAAGAAUGAGCCUGCGAGUUAGCGAUAUGUGGCGAGGUUAACCCGUGUGGGGAAGCCGUAGCGAAAGCGAGUCUGAAUAGGGCGAUUCAGUCGCAUGUCCUAGACCCGAAGCGAAGUGAUCUAUCCAUGGCCAGGCUGAAGCGCGUGUAAGAGCGCGUGGAGGGCCGAACCCACUUAGGUUGAAAACUGAGGGGAUGAGCUGUGGAUAGGGGUGAAAGGCCAAUCAAACUUCGUGAUAGCUGGUUCUCUCCGAAAUGCAUUUAGGUGCAGCGUUGCGUGUUUCUUGCCGGAGGUAGAGCUACUGGAUGGCCGAUGGGCCCUACAAGGUUACUGACGUCAGCUAAACUCCGAAUGCCGGUAAGUGAGAGCGCAGCAGUGAGACUGUGGGGGAUAAGCUUCAUAGUCGAGAGGGAAACAACCCAGAUCACCAUCUAAGGUCCCAAAGCGCGUGCUAAGUGGAAAAGGAUGUGGAGUUGCUGUGACAACCAGGAGGUUGGCUUAGAAGCAGCCACCCUUGAAAGAGUGCGUAAUAGCUCACUGGUCAAGUGAUUCCGCGCCGACAAUGUAACGGGGCUCAAGCACGCCACCGAAGUUGUGGCAUUCAUAUAACAGGUAGGCCUUCGUGGUCCAGCCGUAUGGAUGGGUAGGAGAGCGUCGUGUGGCGAGUGAAGCGGCGGUGUGAACCAGUCGUGGAUGCCACACGAGUGAGAAUGCAGGCAUGAGUAGCGAAAGACGGGUGAGAAACCCGUCCUCCGGAAGACCAAGGGUUCCAGGGUCAAGCUAAUCUUCCCUGGGUAAGUCGGGACCUAAGGCGAGGCCGACAGGCGUAGUCGAUGGACAACGGGUUGAUAUUCCCGUACCGGCUGGUAACCGUUCAAGACCUAACCAGUAGUGCUAAGCAAACCAAAGCUUCAUGGAUCCUUCGGGUGAUGUGGGGUGGCGGCUGCGAACCCGAACUGGGGUGGUGAGCGUGAGGUGUGACGCAGGAAGGUAGGUGAUCCCGGGCGAUGGUUGUCCCGGGCUAAGCAUGUAGCCUGCGGGAUAGGCAAAUCCGUCCCGCAUAUAAGGGUGAGAUGCGAUGGGGACCCGUAUGGGGAAGUCAUUGAUCCUAUGCUGCCGAGAAAAGCAUCGACGUGAGGUUGCUAGUUGCCCGUACCCCAAACCGACACAGGUGGUCAGGUAGAGAAUACUAAGGAGCUCGAGAUAAUUAUGGUGAAGGAACUCGGCAAAAUGCCCCCGUAACUUCGGGAGAAGGGGGGCCAUCCACUUAUUAGGAUUUACUCCGAAAGGGUGUGGUGGCCGCAGAGACCAGUGGGGAACGACUGUUUACUAAAAACACAGGUCCGUGCUAACACGCAAGUGGACGUAUACGGACUGACGCCUGCCCGGUGCUGGAAGGUUAAGAGGAGCGGUUAGCGGUUUUCGGACUGCGAAGCUGUGAAUUUAAGCCCCAGUAAACGGCGGUGGUAACUAUAACCAUCCUAAGGUAGCGAAAUUCCUUGUCGGGUAAGUUCCGACCUGCACGAAUGGCGUAACGAUUCCCCAGCUGUCUCCAC
Molecule: ribosomal RNA, 2209 nt
Filed under: Mycolicibacterium mucogenicum 261Sha1.1M5
Lineage: Bacteria; Bacillati; Actinomycetota; Actinomycetes; Mycobacteriales; Mycobacteriaceae
Description: bacterial LSU rRNA
Rfam family: Bacterial large subunit ribosomal RNA
Source: RNAcentral